GAAUAAGAUCCCUGGUUGCCUUAAUAUGCAUAUGGGUGACAAAGAUUACAAGAGGGCUACUAAUUAAGGACUUGACGAUCAAGUCAUGUACAUCUUAUAAUUAGCAUAUGUAUCAUCCACUUGGUGCCCCUCUACUAAAGGAAAAAUUUAAAAUUUUGGAGGACCUACAUGUUCUUUGAGUUCCAAACUAACAAAUUAAUGAGAACCUAACAGCUUUCGAGUACAGCAGCCACAUAUGCAUGCAUGAUAAUUGGUGGGUGGUAGCUCUUUACAAUCCCUGAUUACAAUCAAUGGCCUUGAAACCCCCCACAGUACUCUUGAUGAGCAUUGAUAUCUAUUGGUAAUACUCUUGAUGCAGAAACUGCAGCAGCGCAGGCAGCUAGCUACUACUUAUAAAUGAUGCCUGCGCAAAAGCAACCUGCCAAGGUAUUUAAUUGAAUUUUCUUUAAUUUAAUUAGAAGAGAUUUUGAUCGCUUUUAGUUUUUAAUACCAUUAGGAC
This 499-nucleotide unclassified non-coding RNA is filed under the name Hevea brasiliensis (rubber tree). The record is from RNAcentral. Lineage: Eukaryota; Viridiplantae; Streptophyta; Magnoliopsida; Malpighiales; Euphorbiaceae.